This 253-nucleotide ribosomal RNA is filed under the name uncultured bacterium. RNAcentral describes it as "partial 16S ribosomal RNA". It matches the Rfam family "Bacterial small subunit ribosomal RNA", at positions 524 to 776 of the family's 1533-position model. The record is from RNAcentral.
UACGUAGGUGGCGAGCGUUAUCCGGAUUUACUGGGCGUAAAGAGCGCGCAGGCGGUCGUGCAAGUCGAGUGUGAAAGCCCCCGGCUCAACUGGGGAGGGUCACUCGAUACUGCUCGACUCGAAGGAGGGAGAGGGAAGUGGAAUUCCCGGUGUAGUGGUGAAAUGCGUAGAUAUCGGGAGGAACACCAGUGGCGAAGGCGACUUCCUGGCCCGUUCUUGACGCUGAGGCGCGAAAGCUAGGGGAGCAAACGGG